AGAAUUUGAUCUUGGUUCAGGACGAACGCUGGCGGCGUGCUUAACACAUGCAAGUCGAACGGGAGUAUUGAAGAAGCUUGCUUUAGAGAUACUUUAGUGGCGGACGGGUGAGUAACGCGUGAGGAGCUGUCCUAUGCAGGGGGACAACAGCUGGAAACGGCUGCUAAUACCCCAUAAGCCGAGAGGUAAAAGGAUCAAUCCGGCAGAGGAGGUACUCGCGUCCUAUCAGCUAGUAGGUGAGGUAACGGCUCACCUAGGCGAAGACGGGUAGCCGGCCUGAGAGGGCGAACGGCCACACUGGAACUGAGAUACGGUCCAGACUCCUACGGGAGGCAGCAGUGGGGAAUAUUGGGCAAUGGGGGAAACCCUGACCCAGCGACGCCGCGUGGGUGAAGAAAUCCUUCGGGAUGUAAAGCCCUGUUGUAUGGGAAGAGCGGAAGACGGUACCAUACGAGGAAGCCCCGGCAAACUACGUGCCAGCAGCGGC
This 487-nucleotide ribosomal RNA is filed under the name uncultured bacterium. RNAcentral describes it as "bacterial SSU rRNA". It matches the Rfam family "Bacterial small subunit ribosomal RNA", at positions 8 to 518 of the family's 1533-position model. The record is from RNAcentral.